ACGGUUAUAAAUCAACAUAUUGAUUUAUAAACAUGGAAAUCCCCUGAGUGAAACAACGAAUUGCUGUGUGUAGUCUUUGCCCAUCUCCCACGAUGGGCUUUUUUUAAC
RNAcentral lists this non-coding RNA (108 nucleotides) under Escherichia coli. RNAcentral's name for it is "antisense sRNA RprA". It matches the Rfam family "RprA RNA". Rfam says of the family: Translational regulation of the stationary phase sigma factor RpoS is mediated by the formation of a double-stranded RNA stem-loop structure in the upstream region of the rpoS messenger RNA, occluding the translation initiation site. Clones carrying rprA (RpoS regulator RNA A) increased the translation of RpoS. Lineage: Bacteria; Pseudomonadati; Pseudomonadota; Gammaproteobacteria; Enterobacterales; Enterobacteriaceae. The record is from RNAcentral.